UGUGGAGCAGUGUGAGUCAGUGACAUAAAUACAGGGAAGGGUAGGAGAGACUACAUGACAUCACAAUACCACCUUUACAUACUUCUGCGGCCUUGCUUCACGCUUCUUCAGGAGGAAUUGUCCAUGUAGUUGGGAAGUAACUUCAGAAAGAGAAAAUACAGGAGCUGAGCAGUGAAGGACCCAGGAGUUCCAUGAGAUGACGUUGUUGAUGAUGAUGAUGAUGAUGAUGAUGAUGAUGAUGAUGAUGGCUGACACCGACUGAGCAGGUUGCUUAUUAUGUCCCAGUUCCGUCAGGGUCACAAGAUGGCUGCCAUGGUCAGAUGUCACAAACCCAUAUGGCAGUGUUCUCAGCAGGAAGGACGGGGGGAAGGCUCCUUUUUAUCAGGCAUGUAGCUGGACUCUUGAUAUUUUCCUGCUUCAGGGAUUUUCACAGGAAAGAAAGCAGAAACAAUUUGAAGACAAUUGUAUCUCCUGUCUUUUGUAAAAGCCUAAACAAAAUGAUCUUCAGCUGAGGAGUGUAUUUGACGGUAUUUAGAAAGAAGAGGGAGAGACUUCACCUAGAAUAAAAAGGUCAGAGAAGAAAGGAACAAUCUAGAGCAGGUGGGCUCUGGACACAGAUCUCUGAGCCCCAACAAAUAGUCAUAUGUCCUAAUUGGACCAGAAAAGACCAUGUUCCUGGGAUAAUGGGUAUCUUAAAGAUAGUCUGGGUGGACAGAUAAGUGAUGGCUAGGGUUUUCUCCCUAAUGUUAUGCGGCUGGGUAAGACCCUUGCAGAACCCUGAGGGGAGUCUUGGUAACUUACAUCUCCUGCCAGGAUAAAGAGAUGGGUGUUCAGAUUUAGAUUUAAUUUGAUUGCAGAGAACAAGAGAUUUUCUAUACUCUUGAAUUUGUCAACUAAAAGUCCAAACUGCCUCAAACACAUGGUUCUAUUUACAAAAUAACCAUUUACAAAGUUGGUUUUACAACCAUAUAACUGUUUGUAAUACUCUGUAUAACAUGUUAUCACCUGCAUCAUAUGAUCAUUUGAUGUCAUCUUUAGCAAAAGGACAGAGGGGCCACUUUUAUUAGUUCCUCAAGAAUAGAGCCUUAGAAAUGAUAAAUUCUUAUGAACUAUUGUUCAAAAAUAACCCCUAGUUAUCUUUAGCCUGCUCCAAAUGCCCUUCCCCCGGCUACCCCCUG
RNAcentral lists this long non-coding RNA (1178 nucleotides) under Papio anubis (olive baboon). RNAcentral's name for it is "lncRNA (ENSPANG00000047411.1)". Lineage: Eukaryota; Metazoa; Chordata; Mammalia; Primates; Cercopithecidae. The record is from RNAcentral.